RNAcentral lists this unclassified non-coding RNA (305 nucleotides) under Hevea brasiliensis (rubber tree). Lineage: Eukaryota; Viridiplantae; Streptophyta; Magnoliopsida; Malpighiales; Euphorbiaceae. The record is from RNAcentral.
AAUUAUUUAAAUAAAUCAAAAAACUUUUAUUGAAUGGUGUUAAAAUUUUCUUACGAAGGAAAGACAGUGAAAUUAUCAGUUAAGACUUCAAUCAAAAUUCAAAUAAAAAAGAUGGAAGAUUUAUAUAGUCAUGAAUCAUGAUGAAUUCUAGAAAACAAGUAUUAAAAUCCAACUUGGGGUGUGUGUGGUCUCACACAAAAAGCAAAGGAAUCAAGGAUAUUUUGCUUUUGCACGGUCCAACGCUGCUGCCUUGUAAGAACGAAUAAAGCAAUAAAACCAGAAUAGACACAAGCCACAAAGCUCAU